This 253-nucleotide ribosomal RNA is filed under the name uncultured bacterium. Its description in RNAcentral is "partial 16S ribosomal RNA". It matches the Rfam family "Bacterial small subunit ribosomal RNA", at positions 524 to 776 of the family's 1533-position model. The record is from RNAcentral.
GACAGAGGGUGCAAACGUUGCUCGGAAUCACUGGGCGUAAAGGGCGUGUAGGCGGGAAGGAUAGUCAGAUGUGAAAUCCCCAGGCUCAACCUGGGAACUGCAUUUGAAACUCCCUUUCUUGAGUAUCGGAGAGGAAAGCGGAAUUCCUGGUGUAGAGGUGAAAUUCGUAGAUAUCAGGAGGAACACCAGUGGCGAAGGCGGCUUUCUGGACGGUUACUGACGCUGAGACGCGAAAGCGUGGGGAGCAAACAGG